CGGACCGGCGCACGGGUGAGUAACGCGUAUGUAAUCUACCUGUAACAGAGGGAUAACCCGGAGAAAUCCGGACUAAUACCUCAUAGCACAUAUUAUUCGCAUGAAUUUUAUGUUAAAGAGACUCGGUUACAGAUGAACAUGCGUUCCAUUAGCUAGUUGGCGGGGUUACGGCCCACCAAGGCAACGAUGGAUAGGGGUUCUGAGAGGAAGGUCCCCCACACUGGUACUGAGACACGGACCAG
RNAcentral lists this ribosomal RNA (242 nucleotides) under uncultured bacterium. RNAcentral's name for it is "partial 16S ribosomal RNA". It matches the Rfam family "Bacterial small subunit ribosomal RNA", at positions 91 to 334 of the family's 1533-position model. The record is from RNAcentral.